AUGCUCACUUUGGCAGCACAUAUACUAAAAUUGGAACGACACAGAGAAGAUUAGCAUGGCCCCUGCACAAGGAUGACAUGCAAAUUCGUGAAGCGUUCUGUAUUUUU
This 107-nucleotide small nuclear RNA is filed under the name Microcebus murinus (gray mouse lemur). The record is from RNAcentral. Lineage: Eukaryota; Metazoa; Chordata; Mammalia; Primates; Cheirogaleidae.